GACGAACGCUGGCGGCGUGCUUAACACAUGCAAGUCGAACGGAAAGGCCCUGCUUGCAGGGUACUCGAGUGGCGAACGGGUGAGUAACACGUGGGUGAUCUGCCCUGCACUUCGGGAUAAGCCUGGGAAACUGGGUCUAAUACCGGAUAGGAGCCAUUUUUAGUGUGAUGGUUGGAAAGUUUUUUCGGUGUAGGAUGAGCUCGCGGCCUAUCAGCUUGUUGGUGGGGUAAUGGCCUACCAAGGCGGCGACGGGUAGCCGGCCUGAGAGGGUGGACGGCCACAUUGGGACUGAGAUACGGCCCAGACCCCUACGGGAGGCAGCAGUGGGGAAUAUUGCACAAUGGGCGCAAGCCUGAUGCAGCGACGCCGCGGGGGGGAUGACGGCCUUCGGGUUGGAAACUCAUUUCGCUAGGGACGAAGCUUUUUGUGACGGUACCUAGAGAAGAAGCACCGGCUAACUACGUG
This 465-nucleotide ribosomal RNA is filed under the name uncultured bacterium. RNAcentral's name for it is "partial 16S ribosomal RNA". It matches the Rfam family "Bacterial small subunit ribosomal RNA", at positions 28 to 507 of the family's 1533-position model. The record is from RNAcentral.